UCAAUAGACAUAUGGUAAAAGGGGACUUUAACAUCCCACUUUCAUCAAUGGAUAGGUCAUCCAGACAGGAAAUCAGUAGGAAAA
This is a long non-coding RNA of Mustela erminea (ermine), 84 nucleotides long. RefSeq lists it as uncharacterized. NCBI's taxonomy places the organism in Eukaryota, Metazoa, Chordata, Mammalia, Carnivora, Mustelidae. The record is from RefSeq and is a predicted model, not a curated record. The transcript is spliced from 3 exons.